This 392-nucleotide unclassified non-coding RNA is filed under the name soil metagenome. RNAcentral describes it as "partial contains 5.8S ribosomal RNA, internal transcribed spacer 2, and large subunit ribosomal RNA". The stretch from base 1 to 122 matches the Rfam family "5.8S ribosomal RNA", at positions 35 to 154 of the family's 154-position model. The record is from RNAcentral.
GAUGAAGAACGUAGUAAAAUGCGAUACUUGGUGUGAAUUGCAGAAUCCCGUGAACCAUCGAGUCUUUGAACGCAAGUUGCGCCCGAAGCCAUUAGGCCGAGGGCACGCCUGCCUGGGCGUCACACGUCGUUGCCCCCCCCAUCUACUCCUUCGGGAUUGCGGGGGGCGGAUGAUGGCCUCCCGUGCGCCUCGCCGCGCGGUUGGCAUAAAUGCCAAGUCCUCGGCGACGCACGCCACGACAAUCGGUGGUUGCGAAACCUCGGUUGCCCGUCGUGUGCGGUCGUCGCGCAUCGAGGGCUCGAAAAAAUUGCCGAGUUCCGGCUCGGCUUUCAACGCGACCCCAGGUCAGGCGGGGUUACCCGCUGAAUUUAAGCAUAUCAAUAAGCGGAGGA